Schistocerca gregaria is the source of this 2397-nucleotide RNA transcript. It is a transcript of the gene named protein KRTCAP2 homolog, with no coding region annotated. The transcript has 7 exons. NCBI's taxonomy places the organism in Eukaryota, Metazoa, Arthropoda, Insecta, Orthoptera, Acrididae. The record is from RefSeq and is a predicted model, not a curated record.
UGGUCUUGGAUCCUAUGAACUUUGCUCCCACGUAUGUCCACGUCGUGACACCAGUAGGAAGUUGUAAACAAACACAGCGUGAAUUAUUUUUCGAGAAAUAAAAAUGGCUGUAUCUUCAGGGAUGUCUUUUGCCAUUGCUUCGUUGUUGACAGUAUUGCUCUUCUCCGGCAUGCAGAUGAAUCGUCAAUGGCUAGCUUCGUCGCAGGUUCUUACACUCGUAGGAGGCUGGUUUGCAUCAAUGCUGUUCGAGCUGCUGCUGAUAGCAGUUGGAAAUUUGGAGUCAGCUCUGUUCGGUAAAGGGUUCCAAACAACCCUUUUUCCUGAAGUUGUACUUUGUCUUGCUAUUGCCAUGGUUUCUGCUGGUAUGAUACACAGAGUUUGCACAACAACAUGUCUGUUAUUCUCCCUUGUGGCGCUGUACUAUAUGAACCGCAUAUCUCAAGCAACAUAUGCUGCCCCUGCCCCUGUGCAGCCAGUAGUGACAAAGAAAAAGAAAUAAUCAUUUAAAGAACUACUUCAAGAGGUGGAGGAUCAUGCAUUUAUAUCAGAAAAGGAACACAGUUCAAAUCAAGACAUGACCUCAGUACAGAGCGUGUCUUCCAGAUAAGAAAAACAAAAACUUCAUAUCUCAAAAAGCUCAGCAUGAAAUGUUAUAACUCUUGUACAAAUUACAUAAAAAUGGAAAAACAGUAUCCUGAACAAGUUUUUGUAAAAUACUUAAUUGUCAUUAUUAGUUAAAAUACACAAUAUACAUUUUAUAAAGAGUGCUUCCAUUUAUGAGCACCGGAGUAUGAACAAAAGAACUUGGGUCGUAGAUGCAGAGACAGUGCAAGGAGGGGGGAGGGGACAAGGGUAGUGGUGGUGGGGGUGCUCCUUUGUGAAUGACCACUAUUUGGUAGGGGAGUUGCAGUUUGACAACCUGAAGCCUAUAGAGAAACCUACACCUCACAUGCUUGUGAUCUACAGCUAGUGAGUCUGCAAAUGAUCGUUUAAACAGAUUGUGUCAAUAUAACCGAAAAAGAAAGUCACAUAAAGAAAGGCUCAACCAAAACAAAACAAGAUCGACCUUCCACUCCCAAAAUGAAAUAGCCUAAAACAAGUAAGAAAUAAAAAAUUUAGUAUCUUUGACAAUGUUGCUUACUACAAUACUGACAUUGUAAAACAAAGAUCUUUUGUGACAUGUAAAUUGUGUCAGUCCCCUGGGAUAACCUGUUGUGCAGCUUUACCCAAAGUUAUUUUAUUCUGCAUCUUCCCCAAGUAGGAAAGCUGUGGGAGGUACUUGUAGCUACAGUUACCCAUCCUUUAUUGAGUAAUUGGACUAGCUAGUAGCUCGUACAGCCCUAUCUGCCAUAGUUUUCAAUAAAAGAUUUUGGCCUCUCCCAACACAAAUUUAAUGAAUAGAGCAAAAAGCCUGUCCAAAGUUGCAAAUUUUACUUUUUUAUUCACUCGAUGGCUAGUUUCGGGCUGAGACUCAUUUUCAAAUCAUCGUAACAUAGUCUAAAAUGUCAUUUUCGAAAGUGGGAAAACCAUGUCAAAAAUGUGCAACAAACAGUUACAACACACACAGAAUAGUUAUCUUUAACUGUUCAUUCCACAUUUUUGAUAUGGUUUUCACAACUUUGGAAAAGAUAUUUUCGACUAUGUUAUGAAGAUUUUAAAAUGGUUCUCAGCCCAAAACUAGUCACCGAGUAAAUAAAAAAAGUAAAAUUUGCAACUUUGGACUGAUUUUUCGUUCUGCUGGUCAACAAAAGUUGCAGACCCACAGCUACUCCAGUAUGCUGGAAGUUUGUACAAAUUUAAUGGUAUUGUAUAUAAUGAAUGUACCUGAUUCUGUAGAACUUUAUAUGCACUGUAGUGCAUGAAGGCUGCAGUGCCAUGCUACAUAGUGAAGACACAGCUACAAGAACACUUGGAAGUGUUUAGGCUGGAAUGUGACAAUCAACUGGUCACCCCUGCAGAACAGUGGGAUGUAAUUGGUCAAUGCUUAUAAUGUAAAUGUGUUUCUGCACUGGUGACACAUUAUUUUGGGUGAACUGUACCCCCCUUCUUAUAGUUGCAGUACCAUGUAGAUUGUUAAAAUACAAAUAAAGUAAAUACAGGGUGUUCAGAAAUUCCCAAUAUAAACUUCUAGGAUGUAUAGACGUGAGUGAAUACAUAAGAUUGUGAAUAGGCAUGUUAUUCCAGAAACGUACUAUUUCCGUUCUACAAUGGAUUCAAUUCAGAUGUUUAACCCAUCCACUUGUGCUUGAAGAUUUGAAUAGGGUGAGAGAGUACAGCUAUUAGGUUACAAUUUGAAAGGAAACAUCAAUUUAUCACUUACGCAUAGUUGUUUGUAUUAACACUUAAACAUUACAUGUUUACAUUAUUCCAAAACAAUAAAGAACUCUGUAUACUGCA